Molecule: RNA transcript, 5604 nt
Organism: Sander lucioperca (pikeperch)
Lineage: Eukaryota; Metazoa; Chordata; Actinopteri; Perciformes; Percidae
Gene: pcdh10a
Gene name: protocadherin 10a
Exons: 5
Source: RefSeq, a predicted model, not a curated record
CCAACCCCGCCGCUCGCACUCGCCUAACAGAAGCCGAGCUGAAAGCAUCAUCCGCUUUGAGCGCUUAGGCGCAGUGAUUACAUCCUCCCACAGAGAGAUAGAGAGACAGAAAGUCCUGUUAUUCGCCAGUCCUUUUUUAUUAUUUAGUAGAAGUUGCGUUUGUUGUAGAUUCCGGCGGUGCGUAAAUAGGACUUUUUUGUUUUCUUCUUUUUUCCUUCUCGUGUGGAAUUCCGUGUUGUUUUGUGACUUUGUGUGAAGAAAGGGGCUGUCUGUUCUGUGCACAGGGAGUGUUGGCUAUGCGUCCUGGCUCCAGUCUGCUAUGUUUUGCGCUGACGCCAAAACUGACAGACCGGUGCAGAAUUGAUUAAAAAACAGAGAAGCUCGGAUCAAAUGGCUGUGCUUCUCACAGCUGAAACGACACAAUGUUCCACUGACCCGAGGCAGAGGAGAGGAAUUUCACAAUCGGGCAGUAUUGUUGCUGUUUAUUUCACUGCCUUUUUACGGACAGAGGCAAUGGGAAAUGCUCAUUUCUUGUAAGGAAAGGGAAUAAUACUUAUUUUUUCUUCCCCCACUCCCCAAUCCCCGUCUUGAAGUGCACUUUUGUGAGAGGGAGAGGAGAUGAUUUGGUUCAUUUUCCUGCUCUCCAUCCUGGAUGGAGCUGUCUCUCAGCUACACUACUCCGUGCCAGAGGAGCAGGAACCUGGCUCCGUGGUUGGGAAUAUCGCAGAGGAUUUGGGGCUGGACAUUACCAAACUUUCCGCUCGCCGCUUCCAGACGGUGCCUAGUUCCCGGACACCGUAUCUGGAGGUGAACUUAGAGAACGGCGCGCUCGUGGUGAAGGAGAAAAUCGACCGGGAAGAAAUCUGCAAGCAGAGCACCCCGUGCCUAUUGCACCUGGAGGUGUUUUUGGAGAACCCGCUGGAGCUCUUUCGCGUGGAGAUAGAAGUGAUGGAUAUCAACGACAAUCCGCCCAGCUUCCCCGAGACUGACAUUUCCGUGGAGAUAUCGGAGAGCGCCAUCCCCGGGACCCGUUUCCCGGUGGAGAACGCCUUCGACCCGGACGUGGGCACGAACGCGCUCAGCACAUACGCCAUAACGAAUAAUAACUACUUCUACCUUGACGUGCAGACGCAGAGCGACGGGAACAAGUUCGCGGAGCUGGUGCUGGAGAAGCCUCUGGACAGGGAGCAGCAGGCGGUGCACCGCUACGUGUUGACGGCUGUGGACGGGGGCAUCCCGCAGCGCACCGGGACGGCUCUCCUGGUCGUUAAAGUUCUGGACUCGAAUGACAACGCGCCCACCUUUGACCAGUCCGUGUACUCUGUCAGCCUGCGGGAAAACUCUCCCGUUGGCACUCUGGUCAUCCAGCUCAACGCCACGGACGUUGACGAGGGACAAAACGGGGAAAUAGUUUAUUCGUUCAGCAGCCACAACGCCCCGCGGAUAAAGGACUUAUUCAACAUCGAUGCCCGGACAGGUAGGAUAGAGGUGGCGGGGGAGGUGGACUAUGAGGAGAGCAACACGCAUCAGCUUUACGUCCAGGCUAAAGAUCUGGGGGCUAACGCGGUUCCAGCGCACUGCAAAGUGCUGGUCAAACUCACAGACGUGAACGACAACACGCCGGAGAUCGGUUUCAGCACUGUGACCGAGUCCGUGAGCGAGCAGGACGCCCCGGGCACCGUGAUCGCACUUUUCAGCGUCUCGGACCGGGACGCUGGCGACAAUGGACACAUAAGCUGCGAGAUAUUAGGAGACGUCCCUUUCAAGCUCAAGUCCUCGUUUAAAAACUACUACACCAUCGUGACGGACGGCCCGCUGGACAGGGAGAACACGGACUCCUACACUGUCACCGUGGUGGCCAAAGAUAAGGGCCAGCCGUCGCUCGCCACCAGCAAGUCCAUCAAAGUGCACGUGUCCGACGAAAACGACAACGCGCCGCGCUUUACGCAGGCUGUUUAUGAUGUGUAUGUGACUGAGAAUAACGUGCCCGGCGCGUUCAUUCACGCUGUAAGCGCUCUGGACCCUGACAUGGGACAAAACGCUCUUAUUACCUACUCCAUAUUGGAGUGCGACAUACAGGGCAUGUCUGUGGACACCUAUGUGUCCAUAAACCAGGACACAGGCUACCUUUACGCGCUGCGCUCUUUUGAUUACGAGCAGCUGAAGGAGUUCAGCUUCAUGGUCCAGGCUAAAGACUCUGGCGCCGCCGAGCUCUUCUCCAACGCCACCGUAAAUGUCAUCAUAGUGGACCAAAACGACAACGCCCCCGCCGUGAUAGCCCCAAUCGGUAAGAACGGCACAGCCAAAGAGCACCUGCCGCGCUCCGCGGAGCCCGGGUACCUUGUGACGCGCAUCGUAGCCAUGGACGCGGACGACGGCGAGAACGCACGGCUCUCGUACAGCAUCCUGCGGGGCAACGAGAUGGGGAUGUUCCGCAUGGACUGGCGCACGGGGGAGCUGAGGACAGCCCGCAGGAUCUCUCCCAAGCGGGACCCGCAGGGUUACUACGACCUGCUGAUCGAGGUGCGGGACCACGGGCAGCCCCCACUCUCCUCCUCCGCGAGCGUGAGCGUGGUGUUGGUGGACAGCGUGGUGGAAGGCCGCAGCGGGGACCGAGGCUCGGCCUCUAAGGCCAAGGAGACCUCCCUGGAUCUGACCCUGAUCCUCAUCAUCGCCCUGGGCUCCGUGUCCUUCGUCUUCCUGCUGGCCAUGAUCGUGCUGGCCGUGCGCUGCCAGAAGGACAAGAAGCUCAACCUGUACACGUGCCUGAUGGCCGGCGACUGCUGCCUGUGUUGCAGCGCGUGCUGCAGCCGGCAGGCCCGCGGGCGCAAGCAGAAGAAGCUGAGCAAGUCCGACAUUAUGUUGGUUCAGAGCACCAACGUGACGUCAGGGGUCGGGCCCGUAGGCCAGGUGCCCGUGGAGGAGUCCGGGGUGGGCGGCGUGGGAGGGGGCUUCGGCUCCCACCACCACCAGAACCAGAACUCCUACUGCUACCAGGUGUGUCUGACGCCGGAGUCCGCCAAGACGGAUCUGAUGUUCCUGAAGCCGUGCAGCCCCUCCCGCGGAACGGACACGGAUCACGCCAACCCCUGCGGCGCCAUAGUCACGGGUUACAGUGACCAACAACCGGACAUCAUAUCCAACGGCAGUAUUCUUUCUAAUGAGACAAAACACCAACGAGCAGAACUCAGCUAUCUGGUGGACAGACCCAGACGUGUCAACAGUUCGGCUUUCCAAGAGGCCGACAUCGUCAGCUCCAAAGACAGUGGUCAUGGCGACAGCGAACAGGGCGACAGUGACCAUGAUGCCACUAACCGGGGUCAUUCGGCCGGCGCCGACCUGUUCUCUAACUGCACGGAGGAGUGCAAAGCCCUGGGCCACUCGGACCGCUGCUGGAUGCCAUCCUUUGUCCCGUCCGACGGGCGCCAGGGGCCGGACUACCGCAGCAACCUGCACGUCCCCGGCAUGGACGCCACGCUACCCGACACUGAGGUACCCUCCUCCGUCAACCUGUCCGACCAACUCAGCAUGACCGCGUCCACCGCCUCGGCCAACGAUAGGUCAUUCUCCACCUUUGGCAAGGAGGGUCAAAGGUCACAGUCACACCACAGCCUUCACCAUCACCUCCAUCAGCAGCAACAGCAGCAGUACAGCUCCAGCACGCUAGAGAGGAAAGAGUAUGAUAGGGGGACCCUACCGUACAAAGCCACCUUUCUCUGUGAGUAUCAGUAUGAAAGUUCCCUGGGACCCUACGACUUCGGUCUGGUCCAGUACAGGUACUAGAGGUGGGGAGGAUGAAUCUGAUCCGGACUUUUUAUGUUGUUCAUCAACUUUUUCUUUUUCUAUUUUUUUAAGUUAAAAAAAAAAAAACAGCUUUAUGUUUUUUGUUUUUUUGUGUGGAAAUUAUGAUUUAUUUUGUUGAAUGUAAAAUGUACGCUAUAUUGCUAACUCCCCCUUUUUAAAAACCCACUUUGAAAAAAAUCUAUCUAACCCCUUCCUAACCCUCAAUACUGUCUGUAAUGAUGUGACUCAUUAUAAAAUAAACACAAUUUAAAUUGGACCCAUGUUAAACUGCUGUGGCCCUUUUUCUUUUUCUUUUUUUUUUAUUACCUUUCUCUAAAUUUCCCCUCCAAAUCCUCUCCAAUCAGCCUUUUUAUAUCUGAUGCUCAUAUAAGUAAAGGUCACAGACACACGCACACUUCACAUUUGCAUGCCUGCCGUCUUCACACACACCCACAUUUGAAUGCCGUUCACGGUUUAAAACAUGAUUCCAGUGUAUAGAGAGGAAAUGGAAGCUAGAUCAUCUCAUGCUGUAAAGGACAUCUUUGUGUUUCCCCAUUUGCUCAACAACAUAGUUUAGCUCGAGCAUGAUGACUUCCCUACUGAAUAGCUCGAAAGGUGAAACACACAGCCCACGCUUCUUCUCUUUCACGAGGACUGAAGUCCGGUUUUGUGCUAACAAAGGAAGUGUCGAGUAUCUAUACUCGCCUGCUUGUGGAUCAAUACCUGACAUAAAGAAGGGUGGGUGGGUGAGGUGGGCUGUCAACACACGGGUCAAGAUUCUACAGUUGGAGGAGACACGACACACAGGUUUGUGUGACAGAAAGGAGAGAAACUGUAACUAUAUGAGGGAGCUCUCAUAUAGCAAAUGAAAUAUUUUCAAUAAAAAGGAGUUUCCAGCUUGCGUUUUCUAAAGGAGCAUGAUUUGGAAAUGAUGGCUGGACACUUCUUGCACAUGUCAAUUGCUUUCCCGGCACCCACAUUACAUGAAUAUUCUAUUAGCUCUAAGAGUAGAGAAUGGAUUCGAUAUACACGUUCAGUAGAGAAGUCAUUUCCAGUCAAGUCACCGCCAUGUUAACCACCAUCCUCCAUCAUACUGCAUGCAGACUGUGGGCUGUCUCUCAGCCCGCAAAAGGAUUUGCUAGCUCGUUCCAUGUGGACCUGUCGGAGACAGCGUGAGUUUCUGUGCUUAAGACCGCCAACACUGAUGCUGGAGAAGGCGACAUUGAACGACACAAACAGCAACCCGGACAGCAGCAACCUUGGUUAAGCUUCAUUAUCUUGUGUGGCGAACUGUAACAAAGCCUUGGCAGUGGUCGCCGAGGGGAGGAGAGGAGAACUAAAUACUGAGUAGCUGUAAACCACUAGAUAUCUGAGGAGCAAUCCAAGGCCUUAUUGCUCUCAGCAGGACUGAGACCGGGGCCCAAAAAAAACACUUGACAUGUGAACAUUAUAAAGUCAUCAGCAGACGUAUGAGAGGAAGCGAAAUGAACAGAGGAGUACAAAACAAGAAGAAGAGGGAGCGAUUGACUCACAGAGGUGGGUUGUGUUUCUUUUUCUGGACUGAGGAGUUAGCCUCUAGAGAUCUGUGUGUGCCUGUUUACAUGAAGAAAAAAAAACUAAUGUUUCUGUACAAACUUCAACCAAUGUCACACGGAACCCUUUAGCUAUUUCUAUGGUCACCACUUAGCCAACUGUACAGAGAUUGUGUGUGUGGGGGGGGGAAUGGAGACUGACAGCCAGAGAGACUGGGCGAGAGACAGACUAUUAGACAGAGAGAGGAGCAGGUGUUGUACAGGUAUAAAAUGACACAGGAAAAAAAAA